Molecule: long non-coding RNA, 724 nt
Organism: Oncorhynchus kisutch (coho salmon)
Lineage: Eukaryota; Metazoa; Chordata; Actinopteri; Salmoniformes; Salmonidae
Exons: 3
Source: RefSeq, a predicted model, not a curated record
UUACUUCCUCCCAAACAGCGCGUCAGCCAACUGGUUUUGGUUCCUUGUCUUCUGAGCACGAGAGAUGCAAGAUCAGCUUUAUCAGAGCAGGACAUUCAAAAGAAAACAGGAAACAAGAAAACGAUCUCGUAUCGAAUAUGUACAAGACUCAUCAGACAAGUAUGACUCCAGGGAUGUGGACAGGUUAUGGAAGGAUGAUGUUUUGGUUGACAGUUAUCUGGAGGGGCGCCACUUUGUGGUGGAGGACACCUUGAAGAUGAUCGAUGAGAGUCUUCAGUGGAGAAAAUAAUUCAAACUGAAUGGUGGAUUGACCUUUGCUUAUACAUUAUACAGGGACUUGAUGUCAACCAGUGGCCUUGUCCCAUAAUGUAUAGCUGUAUUAAUGAAUAUAUAGCUCCAACAAAGAACAGUAGAAUAGCUUGGCUAGUGCACAUACCCUGUUAUUGUGCAUUCUUGCAAAUUGCUGACAAACUUCCACUGGUUGAACUGAACAUGAUGGUGUUGAUAAGAUGUUUCCCGAUUUGAAAUGUCUUUAUGUAAUGAAUAGUGCUAUAUAAGUAUAAUAUGUAAGAAUGAUGUAUUAUUAUUAUUAUUAUAGACAGCAUUGAUAGUCCAGUUUGAUUCAUUUUUUAAUAUCCCUUUCUCUUCCAUACAUCAUGAAAGCUCUGUUCAAAUUCUCUAUUUGAGUCUGGCAUGCAUUAUCUCCACGGCUAUGAUAAAGAGG